GCCAGGUGCGGUGGUGCACACCUGUAGUCCUAGCUACUCGGGAGGCUGAGGUGGGAGGAUUGCUUGAGCCCAGGAGUUCAAGGCUGCAGUGAGCUGGGAUUGCACCACUGCACUCCAGCCUUGGUGACAAAGCAAGAUCACGUCUCAA
Molecule: signal recognition particle RNA, 148 nt
Filed under: Gorilla gorilla gorilla (western lowland gorilla)
Lineage: Eukaryota; Metazoa; Chordata; Mammalia; Primates; Hominidae
Description: Metazoan signal recognition particle RNA
Rfam family: Metazoan signal recognition particle RNA
About the family: The signal recognition particle (SRP) is a universally conserved ribonucleoprotein.
Source: Rfam by way of RNAcentral